RNAcentral lists this unclassified non-coding RNA (352 nucleotides) under soil metagenome. RNAcentral's name for it is "partial contains 5.8S ribosomal RNA, internal transcribed spacer 2, and large subunit ribosomal RNA". The stretch from base 1 to 120 matches the Rfam family "5.8S ribosomal RNA", at positions 35 to 154 of the family's 154-position model. The record is from RNAcentral.
GAUGAAGAACGUAGCGAAAUGCGAUAAGUAAUGUGAAUUGCAGAAUUCAGUGAAUCAUCGAAUCUUUGAACGCACAUUGCGCCCGCCAGUAUUCUGGCGGGCAUGCCUGUUCGAGCGUCAUUACAACCCUCAGGCCCCCGGGCCUGGCGUUGGGGAUCGGCGGAGCCCCCCGUGGGCACACGCCGUCCCCCAAAUGCAGUGGCGGUCCCGCCGCAGCUUCCAUCGCGUAGUAGCUAACACCUCGCGACUGGAGAGCGGCGCGGCCACGCCGUAAAACACCCAACUCUUCUGAAGUUGACCUCGAAUCAGGUAGGAAUACCCGCUGAACUUAAGCAUAUCAAUAAGCGGAUGA